RNAcentral lists this ribosomal RNA (378 nucleotides) under uncultured eukaryote. RNAcentral's name for it is "partial 18S ribosomal RNA". It matches the Rfam family "Eukaryotic small subunit ribosomal RNA", at positions 592 to 976 of the family's 1831-position model. The record is from RNAcentral.
CAAUAGCGUAUAUUUAAGUUGUUGCAGUUAAAAAGCUCGUAGUUGGAUUUUGGGUGCGGCAGGCCGGUCCGCCGAUUCGGUGUGCACUGGCAGGCGGCAUCUUUCUGUCGAGGACGCGCUCCUGGUCUUGACGAUCGGGACGCGGAGUCGGCGAUGUUACUUUGAAAAAAUUAGAGUGUUCAAAGCGGGCCUACGCUUGAAUAUAUUAGCAUGGAAUAACAUGAUAGGACUCUGGUCUUAUUUUGUUGGUUUCCGAGACUGGAGUAAUGAUUAAGAGGGACAGUCGGGGGCAUCCGUAUUUCAUUGUCAGAGGUGAAAUUCUUGGAUUUAUGAAAGACGAAUUUCUGCGAAAGCAUUUGCCAAGGAUGUUUUCAUUAA